UGAGUCAUCGAAUCAGCUGCUGAAUAAACAUAUUAACGACGAUCUGUACUAGGCCGGCACUGGGAUAGUUAUUCGAAAUGAGACAGAUAUGCUACACACCUGUUCCACAAGCCGCAUCAAUACCAAGCUUACAAGUAAACAGUAAUGCCUGUACAAUAACAACGUUUUUUAGAGGUUGCUAUUGGGGGUCGGGUAAUAUUUUGUGAUGGCUGCACGACCUCCAUCGCUUAAUCAGUUAAUUCAUCGAUUCAAACACAAACACGGGCGUGUAAUCCGAUUUUUUUUAAACCACUCUAGAGCGACAGAAAUAACGGUAGUUUAUUCCGUGUCAGGACCGGGCAAGCGUUACGGCUUUGGCAUGCAGUAUUCGCUGUUUGCAGAAUCUGCACACGUCUUCAUUGCAGCGACUCAUAGUCGAGCAGAAGCCCAUCCGAUAUAAACAAAAAAAGAAACCAGGAGGAAAGGGCAAAGGUGUUGGUGUCAGAUACCAGCAGAAAAUGCCCGAUCGCUUGAAACGGUGCAUUUUGCGUAACAAACAGGAAGCCGGUGCGGGCGGAUACUCGAAAUGUUUCUUUAAAAAAAAACUGUGCUUUUUUUUACUUUGUAGAAAGCUUCGAACGGCUUUCUUGAGAAGUGUCCAACCGUCCAGUUUGCGACUUCUGUUUCCGAAUGUAAAAUACUCCCGUGCUAUCAUCAUCGUCAUCGUCACACUAGCCGAGAUCUCAGAAUCUAUAACUCUUUCAAGCUGCACCAAAUUGAGCACCUACACCAACUCGAGUGAACAUAGAUCAUCAUCGUCAUCGUCACACUAGCCGAAAUCUCAGAAUCUGUAUCUCUUUCAAGCUUUACCGAACUGAGCACCUGCACCGACUCGAGUCAACAUAGAUCAUCAUCGUCAUCACGAUUGUCGACAGCGCCGCCAUCAUCAUCAAUUGGAGUUGUUUGAAAGUACAAUCGAACCAUCAGCGCAUGAUGUCCCUCCACCUAUCGGUCUUUCAUUGCAGAUAAGGGAUCUAUGGUAGCUUAAACGGCUAAACUUUGAACUAAAAUUGUCGAAAGUCAAUGUUUUAAGCCUCGCCCUCCACAAUAUGUAUCUUCAAACAGAGAAUGCUUAUGAGAAAAACUAGAACAUACCUAAAUAUUCGGAACUAAAACUGUUUCAAUGUACUAGACGUUUCCCCACGAGUUAACCGGCUAACAUCAAACUAAAAACAAGCUUAUUACAAUAUAGAAAAAUUGAAGCGGGAUGCUUGCUUAUGCUUCCACCGGGCAUCUAGAACGAUCUUACUGUUUCCGGCGAUUACUUGUUCUCUACAAUAAAAAAAGAAAUGAGAGAGAAUUAUCCAAGAAACCUAAACCGCGUAUCAGCGAAUUUGCCCAGCGCUGCGCUACGAGGACAACGCAGUCGGACGAGGCGGCUACGGAUGACGCAGCGUCAUUAUCUGCCGUCACUAAGAACGCAAUGAUCAACUGCAUUGAAGGAACAAAGUCGAAACUGUGAUGGGGUUCAAAAGGUCUCUUUUAUUUAAUUACUGUUUAACGUGAUGAUAUUUUCAUUCUAUACAUAAAAACGGUGGAUUAACAUUCAUUGCUCCAAGUACACGAAUUAAACUGAAUAAGUUGAACACUAAAUA
RNAcentral lists this long non-coding RNA (1634 nucleotides) under Varroa destructor (honeybee mite). RNAcentral's name for it is "uncharacterized LOC111253977". Lineage: Eukaryota; Metazoa; Arthropoda; Arachnida; Mesostigmata; Varroidae. The record is from RNAcentral.